Cygnus olor (mute swan) is the source of this 404-nucleotide long non-coding RNA. RefSeq lists it as uncharacterized. The record is from RefSeq and is a predicted model, not a curated record. Lineage: Eukaryota; Metazoa; Chordata; Aves; Anseriformes; Anatidae. The transcript is spliced from 3 exons.
CAAGACUUUGGUUCUGCUGGUCCUUGUGAGAAAGGAGGUUCUGAUGUGGCCAGCCCCUGCUAAGGUUCACCUACCUCUUAUGCAUUACUUGUGACAGAACGAAGUUUUUGAAGACCUUUCAUUUUCCUGACUCCUGUCCCAGAAGCAGAAACUCAGGAUGAGUUUCUUUUUUUCCCAUCUCUGCUCACGUCCAUGCUGCUUCUUCCCCCUCUCUUCUGGCUGUUCAGCUGCCAAAUCUUCACUCGUAUUUCCGUGCUGAGCUCCUUGCCUCCGAUCCACAAGGCCCACAAGCAAGCUGACUUUUAGUGCUUCCUCUGCAAGUGUCCCACAGAAGCCAGUGCUGCCUGCUGGCUUCGAGCAGCACCUUGUCACCACAGCAGAGAGCCUGGACCUCCCCGGGGAAA